This 460-nucleotide ribosomal RNA is filed under the name uncultured bacterium. RNAcentral's name for it is "partial 16S ribosomal RNA". It matches the Rfam family "Bacterial small subunit ribosomal RNA", at positions 338 to 795 of the family's 1533-position model. The record is from RNAcentral.
CCUACGGGAGGCAGCAGUGAGGAAUAUUGGUCAAUGGCCGGAAGGCUGAACCAGCCAUGCCGCGUGAAGGUCAGUGCCCUAUGGGCGUUAAACUUCUUUUGUGCGGGAGCAAUAAUGGUCACGUGUGGCCAGACGAGAGUACCGUACGAAUAAGCAUCGGCUAACUCCGUGCCAGCAGCCGCGGUAAUACGGGGGAUGCAAGCGGUAUCCGGAUUUAUUGGGGUUAAAGGGUGCGUAGGCUGUGGGGUAAGUCAGCGGUGAAAUGCCCCCGCGCAACGGGGUGAAGUGCCAUUGAUACUGCCUUGCUGGAAUGCGGAUGCGGUGGGAGGAAUGUGUGGUGUAGCGGUGAAAUGCAUAGAUAUCACACAGAACACCGAGUGCGAAGGCAUCUCACGAAUCCGCGAUUGACGCUGAUGCACGAAAGCGUGGGUAUCAAACAGGAUUAGAUACCCCAGUAGUC